CCUACGGGGGGCAGCAGUGGGGAAUAUUGGGCAAUGGGCGCAAGCCUGACCCAGCAACGCCGCGUGAAGGAAGAAGGCUCUCGGGUUGUAAACUUCUUUUCUCAGGGACGAAGCAAGUGACGGUACCUGAGGAAUAAGCCACGGCUAACUACGUGCCAGCAGCCGCGGUAAUACGUAGGUGGCAAGCGUUAUCCGGAUUUACUGGGUGUAAAGGGCGUGUAGGGGGGGACGCAAGUCAGAUGUGAAAACCACGGGCUCAACCUGUGGCCGGCAUUUGAAACUGUGUUUCUUGGGUACUGGGGAGGCAGACGGAAGUCCGGGUGUAGCGGUGAAAUGCGUAGAUAUUAGGAAGAACACCAGUGGCGAGGGCGGAUUACUGGACGAUAACUGACGGUGGGGCGCGAAAGGGUGGGAGCAAACAGGAUUAGAUACCCGAGUAGUC
RNAcentral lists this ribosomal RNA (442 nucleotides) under uncultured bacterium. RNAcentral's name for it is "partial 16S ribosomal RNA". It matches the Rfam family "Bacterial small subunit ribosomal RNA", at positions 338 to 795 of the family's 1533-position model. The record is from RNAcentral.